UCUCUGAACACCGAAUUUCUGAGUUGAUAUGAAAGAGUCAAGCAGGACACGAAUGGCCAUGUUAACAUCAUCUUCUGUGACAUACUGUCUAAGGUGCAUCCUAGCAUUUGCUUCAGACAUUCGGAUCAUUGACUCCAGGUGCCUUGUCGCAAUAGAGACCCCUUGUCCGUUCUGAACAAAAGAUUAAGCAGGCGAAGAGAUUAUGCCGGGAUGAUGUUUGAGAAAGACGGUAACCAUCAGUACCAAUUAAAAUCAUGAACCCUUACCAUUGAUUCUCUUCUUAGAUUAGCAUAAACAGUUUCCAACUUCUUGGCAUCUAUUUCACUCAGUUUAGGGAAUACAUACAACUUCGAGUAUGUUAAGUAUUUCCUAAGCAAGUUCUGGGGAAGAACCUGCAGAGAAUACAAGAAAAUAACACUGCUGUCAAGACAUGGAAACAUCAAUGAAGCAGCUACAUUUGAAAAUCACAAACCUCGGGAUCAGAAGAACCGCUAGAUCCAUGAUUGUCAUCUUGGGGCUCGCUAUCAUCCAUUUUACCACCUUUAGGCUGUGAUUUGAAGUGACUAUUGACAACAAAUUCAGCAAGCAUUUCAUCUGUCACUGGGUCAACCACAUCCUGCAGCCAUAUAAUGGGGGUAACUCAUGUCAAUAACCAAAAAAAGUUAACGUAAUCAGUGAUCACAAGAAUGAGAAGUAUAUGUUUAGAAAAAAGACCUUGACAACACAAAGGAUAUCAAAACGAGAAAGGAUCGGAUCUGUCAACUCCACAUUCUGUGCAAAUGAUUUGGAUGAAUCGUACCUGAAAUUGUAAUACCACAAACAUAUAACAACACUCAUAAGAGAGAUUAGUCAGUGGAUUGGGAGCCCUUGAUAUUUUUGUACCUUCCACCAACUGGAUUAGCUGCAGCAAUAACAGAGCAACGAGCUUGCAGAGAAGUAACAAUUCCUGCCUUCGAUAUACUAAUACUCUGCUGUUCCAUGGCUUCAUGGAUACUCACCCUGGUAAUAAAACAUAGGCCAUCAUCAUCAUUUUCUCCAGCAAAGGUAAAUUAAAAUUAGUUGCAUUUUGUUACCUGUCCUGAUCAUUCAUCUUAUCAAACUCAUCGAUAAGACAGAUUCCUCGGUCAGCAAGUACAAGAGCCCCUCCUUCAAGGGUCCACUCCCUUGUAACUGGAUCCUUGUGUACUGCUGCAGUCAGACCAACAGCAGAAGCUCCCUUCCCAGUCGUGUAGACAGCUCUCUGGCCCGUUUUCUCAACAUAUCUAGAAGAAAAUAUUUGCUGUUAGUGGAAUGCUCGUUACAGGAAGUCAGAGAAGAAAAUAUACUUACUUCAGAAAUUGUGAUUUUGCUGUUCCUGGAUCUCCUAGUAGAAGUACAUUAAUGUCUCCACGCAAUCUGUGUUUCCCUUUAAUGUUUUUCUCCUGGCCUCCAAACAUAGCAAGAGCAAUAGCUGUUUUGAUAUCUUCGUGUCCAUAUAUUGACGGAGCAAUUGACUUAAUGAUCUGAGAGAUAUAUCUUAAAAUACCAAAAUCUAUAAGAUUUCUGUGACCAACUCAAAGCCGGUUCUAAUUCGUCACAGAGGUGCCUAAGGCUCAAAGUUUAGAUUUCAAGGUAGACAAACGAGUUAAAAUCUUAGAACAACUUAUGAUCUUCACUUGAAACCAAACAAUCUUCUAAAAGUCCAACAAUAUUCGAAUGUCUAGUGAAAACUCAAGUAGGUUUUUAGUAGCCAGAAGCUUUUGCCUUGUUGGUUACCAAGUGACUAACCUUCUAGGAAAUUUGAUCACUCCUAGACCAUGAUCCAACUCGAAAUGAGCUUUGGCAAAAUCUUUGCUCGAAAAGAACGGCCGUAAAUCUGCGAGGUCGUAUUCGUUGGCCUGCAAUUGUAGACACAAACAGUUAUAAGAACCAUACUUCUAUCUAUAUAACCAACCCCAUAUGGCUUUUAGAAUAGCAUGAACUUUACCUUCGUCUGCAGCUCCUCUAUCUUAACUUCGAUAGAAGAUAGUCCCGAGUUUGAUCCCGUAAUGAUUUCUUCAAACUUCAAAGCAUUCUUCACUAGCUCUUUCAGAAGAACGAGCAGCAGUGAGUUGUAGUCCUUUUUGUAUGUAAUGUAUCGUUUAAAACUCUGCACAUGAAUAACUGAGUUUUCAUCAAUGCAGAUAUAAGAAUCCGAAGAAGCUCACUGAAAAGUUUGUGCAUACCUCUCUCAGGGUUCUCUGAACACCGAAUUUCUGAGUUGAUAUGAAAGAGUCAAGCAGGACACGAAUGGCCAUGUUAACAUCAUCUUCUGUGACAUACUGUCUAAGGUGCAUCCUAGCAUUUGCUUCAGACAUUCGGAUCAUUGACUCCAGGUGCCUUGUCGCAAUAGAGACCCCUUGUCCGUUCUGAACAAAAGAUUAAGCAGGCGAAGAGAUUAUGCCGGGAUGAUGUUUUGAGAAAG
RNAcentral lists this long non-coding RNA (2443 nucleotides) under Brassica napus (rape). RNAcentral describes it as "long non-coding RNA (BNAP_LNC020702)". Lineage: Eukaryota; Viridiplantae; Streptophyta; Magnoliopsida; Brassicales; Brassicaceae. The record is from RNAcentral.